RNAcentral lists this ribosomal RNA (354 nucleotides) under uncultured bacterium. RNAcentral describes it as "bacterial SSU rRNA". It matches the Rfam family "Bacterial small subunit ribosomal RNA", at positions 1045 to 1397 of the family's 1533-position model. The record is from RNAcentral.
AUGGCUGUCGUCAGCUCGUGUCGUGAGAUGUUGGGUUAAGUCCCGCAACGAGCGUAACCCUUGUCGUUAGUUACCAGCGGGUAGUGCCGGGGACUCUAGCGAGACCGCCUGCGCAAGCAGUGAGGAAGGUGGGGAUGACGUCAAGUCAUCAUGGUCCUUACGCCUAGGGCUGCACACGUGCUACAAUGGUCGGGACAACGAGCAGCCACCUCGCGAGGGGGAGCGAAUCUCUCAAACCCGAUCGCAGUUCGGAUUGGAGUCUGCAACUCGACUCCAUGAAGCCGGAAUCGCUAGUAAUCGCGGAUCAGCAAUGCCGCGGUGAAUUCGUUCCCGGGCCUUGUACACACCGCCCGU